UGUGUAAAUUUAUACUUCUCAUUAAUGGCUAAACCACAAACCAUUCACCGUUACAACGGCCAUGUCACUGGUUUUUAGUUAUUGAACUUUUCUGAAGCUUUACACUCUACUGCUUAUUAAUGUGGGACAAAGUUAAUUGAAAUAUAAGCUUUUUACUACACGUAUUGCGUGUGCCGUCCUUGUGGAUAUAUUAUUGAAUGAAAAUCAGUGUUCCAUUUUAAAUUAAAUUAAGUGAAGAACAUCAAAGAAAUCCUAAAUUUCAUAUUGCGUUUUAGUUCAUAUAAUGUUAUAAACGGACCUAGAGAUAAAAAGAAUUUACAACCUUCCAUUCUUAAAAAAGUUUCAUUGACAAUCCCUGGAAUAUUUGAUUGACGUAUGUUCUGGUAGAUUUAAUUUUAGCCACGCCCCAUUUAGAGUUUAGUAACGUAUGCGGGCUCGAUUAUCUAUGAGUUUUGUCGACAAAAAGAGGCGCCUAGCUUAAUGUUGAAAAUGGAGCUUAAAGAUUGGAAUAAUAAAAUGCUUUUAUUCAUAUAUUGUGCAGAAAAAUUAUCAUUUUUUGUGCAUUUAUGUUCAAAAAUUUUGGGAAGUAAUAAAGUGUAAUAAUUGUGACCUAACAUAAUGUAAAGAUUGGAUUUUAAACCUUGCAUUGAUAAAAACAUGUGGAUACGACACAUUCACGUAUUAUUAUUAUUUUUAUUGCCGCAUGUGUAUUGUUCACCUAUUGUUUUUAACCACGAGAGUAGUAUCGCCACAGCCAAGAAAAAGCAUAUGAAUUCUACUCGGGAUAACACGUCAACACAAGAUUCUGGUGAAAUGAUGUGUGCCUCUCAGUAUCGAAAGAGGUCGAUCUAUUCAAAUGGUGACUGUUCUUCUGCUAAGCCAACCGAACCAAUCAUUGAACCUGUGUGCGUUGGACGAUGCGUUCCGAAAGGGUCCCAACCAAUAGAAUUAUUUACUGGACAACAUUAUAGGUGUAAACCUGAUAAAAAAGUCACAAAAACCGUCAAGUUAUUGUGUUCAGGUACCUCAAACCUGAAAUCAAUAAAAGUGAGAGUUGUGGAAUCAUGUAAGUGUGUCUUGACUAAGAAAAAAAGACGUAAACAUAAGAAAGGAGAAAAUCGUCGACGAAAGAACAAAACUGAUAAUAAAAAUAAAAAAAGAAAAGAAAGACGAAAAUUACGGGGUAGAAACAGACGAAAACAAAGAAAAAACAAAAAAUCUAGUAAAUUAACUAAUAACGAUCGGUGAGAAUCCUGUUAUGUUAAUUAGGAGAUUGUUUCUUUUAAUUUUGUACGUGUGAGAGAAGCACAUUUGCAUUUUUGCAAGGAAUAAACAAAACGGAAUCACGCCCAGUAAGUCAGCAACGCCAAAGUGUCAAUACUGUGUGAUGCAGUUGGCAAGGAAAGGGUGUGUUUCGGCUGUAUUCCAAAGGAAGCCAGUAAUGAUACAGGGAUUUCCUGCCUCGUGGCAAAAUUAAUCUGUGAUCAAAUGUAAAGCUUAAAACAGUUUUUUUUUUGUUAUUUUAUUGUUUUGUUUGCAGAAUGUAAGUGUUAUCGUAUGAAUGUUGAAUUGUUUCAUGAUGUCAUUACUUUUAAGUUUCAUGUCAAUGCCUUUUGAUCAAGUAGGUCUCGUACAAUAUACAACAUUAAGUUUUUUGAGGUGAAAAAAUGCAAUCAAUAAAACUAAAUGUUUUUUUUCACAAUAUCCUUCCUGUCAUUUCAAAUAUUUCGGAAUUUAUUCUUUUCAACUCGUGUAUCUAUACAUAAUUUAAUGGUCUUUUUUUCUCCGCAAAUCACGAAAAAGUCUUUAGAUGCAAUGUACCAUUCGCUUCAUGAAAUCAAUUUAAGUGGGGUUCUCAAAUCUUGCACAUUGAAUCAUAAAUAUGAGAUCAAAGUAACAUACUUUCCAUUGAUAAAUAUUUUUAAGUUACUUGUACUAAAAUAAUUGUGAAUAUUUGCUAUGUUCUACCAAAGGUUCUUCCUAAUUUAUUAUGCUUGACCACACUUUAUUGUUUUCUAUAAUGCCAGACCACAUAUAACUCUUCGAAAAAGAUUUUAAAAUAUAAUUUUGUGAAAUGUAACUUGUUACCCUUUUGGUGUUCAACAUCGUUGUGGGGGAGUCAAAUUUUUAAAGGAUUUUUAAAAAAAGCCGGAUCUCUGCAAAAGCAUUUAUUUAAAAAUAUAAAUGUCAUUACUGUUGGGAAAUUGACAAAAACGAACGUAGAAAAUGAAAAUUUCCAUCCUAAACCUUAAAUAAACGUAUCUUUUUCUAAGGACAAAAACUCCUGCGUACAUUUUAAAAAUGUUUAGAAGAUUUUGAUGAUUUAUAUUUUAUACGAGAAUAUCCAUUGUAUUAUCAUUACUUGUACAAUAUAGUUCCUUAAAGGAGUAAAUAUG
This is a long non-coding RNA of Mytilus californianus (California mussel), 2396 nucleotides long. RefSeq lists it as uncharacterized. Lineage: Eukaryota; Metazoa; Mollusca; Bivalvia; Mytilida; Mytilidae. The transcript is spliced from 2 exons. The record is from RefSeq and is a predicted model, not a curated record.